UACCAGCACCCCGAGUGGUCGGGACGAUUAUUGGGCCUAAAGCAUCCGUAGCCGGUUUUACAAGUCCUCCGUUAAAUCCAACUGCUUAACAGAUGGGCCGCGGAGGAUACUAUAAGACUAGGAGGCAGGAGAGGCAAGCGGUACUCAGUGGGUAGGGGUAAAAUCCGUUGAUCCAUUGAGGACCACCAGUGGCGAAGGCGGCUUGCCAGAAUGCGCUCGACGGUGAGGGAUGAAAGCUGGGGGAGCAAACGGG
Molecule: ribosomal RNA, 253 nt
Filed under: uncultured bacterium
Lineage: Bacteria
Description: partial 16S ribosomal RNA
Rfam family: Archaeal small subunit ribosomal RNA
Source: RNAcentral